Long non-coding RNA from Oncorhynchus kisutch (coho salmon), 1213 nucleotides. RefSeq lists it as uncharacterized. The record is from RefSeq and is a predicted model, not a curated record. NCBI's taxonomy places the organism in Eukaryota, Metazoa, Chordata, Actinopteri, Salmoniformes, Salmonidae. The transcript has 3 exons.
AUAUUACUGCUGUUUGUCUCUCUUGAGCCACCGUAACUGCAUCGCUUUAACACUUCAUCAAAAUAGUGUGAAUUAAUCGAAGAUAAAUCAUAUACAGUAUAUAACAUUUUACGUUUUUUUUUCCCGAGGUCUUAGUUGCGCAAUUUGACAUCUAACCAAGAUGUUUGGUGCAGUAUUUCUCAAGUGACAAAAUGUGCAUGAAAACUAGUCGUCUCUCAUUGAAUGACAACAAACUCUUUGUUGAAGACUCCUUCCCCUAAUUCUCACUUCUACUAGGAGUAGUACUGCUAACCAAUCUCUUAUGAAGAGGCGGUAGACUCAAGAAAACUUGCCUCAAGAAAAACAGACGGGUGCAACUUUGCUUAACUGAGCUCAAGGCUAGAAAUCAACACAUCUGAAGAAAUAUAAAUGAAAAUGAAAGAUGCCAUCUCUUCUAGAAAGAGCCCAGAUGUUACAUCAUCCCGACAACCCUCAGAUUUGACCACUUUCCAGAAAUGAGCUGGAUUUCCACCACUCUCAGCUACACAAUUCAAGAAGUAAGUUGACUUUGCUUUUCUAUCCAGAGGAAGACAUCUAUCUAAUAAUAGCGCCGGAGGGUAUGACUAAUUGUGCUAUUCUGUGUGUAUUUUUGUGCUGUUUGUAACUUUUGUUGUACAUAAUGUAUCUGCCACCGUCUCUGUUCUCCGGUAGGCUGUCGUUGUAAAUAAGAAUUUGUUCUUAACUGACUUGCCUAGUUAAAUAAUAAUAAUAAUAAUAAUGACUGAAAAUAGCUUCUUUUUUUAUGAAUCGGAGGCGAAAGAUUUACGGCUCCUCCUGGACCAGGCCCAAAUCCCUGUCAUUCACAUGAAGAGGAGACGCCGAUACAGGGGGCGCAGAUCCUGGUGCUUGGUGAGAAUUUGUCAGCGAGUGGAUAAUCCGCCUUUACCAUCCAUCCUACUGGCAAAUUUGCAAUCACUUGAGAAUAAACUGGAUGAGCUCCGUUCGGGACUAUCCUACCAACGGGGCCUUAAAAACUGUAAUAUCUUAUGAUUCACCGACAUGGAUAAUAUACAGUUGGCUGGCUUUUCUGUGCAUUGGCAAGAACAUCAACCUCUGGUAAGACAAAGGGUGGCAUCAGAUGCAUGCUUAGUCCCCUCUUAUACUCCCUGUUCACCCAAGAUGGCCACGCACGACUCCAACACCAUCAUUAAGUUUGCCGAUGACACAACAGUGG